AGAUGGCAUGCUCAACAUACAACU
RNAcentral lists this non-coding RNA (24 nucleotides) under Arabidopsis thaliana (thale cress). Lineage: Eukaryota; Viridiplantae; Streptophyta; Magnoliopsida; Brassicales; Brassicaceae. The record is from RNAcentral.